Molecule: ribosomal RNA, 168 nt
Filed under: Phaseolus albescens
Lineage: Eukaryota; Viridiplantae; Streptophyta; Magnoliopsida; Fabales; Fabaceae
Description: 5.8S ribosomal RNA
Rfam family: 5.8S ribosomal RNA
About the family: 5.8S ribosomal RNA (5.8S rRNA) is a component of the large subunit of the eukaryotic ribosome. It is transcribed by RNA polymerase I as part of the 45S precursor that also contains 18S and 28S rRNA.
Source: RNAcentral
AUGUAAAAUGACUCUCGGCAACGGAUAUCUCGGCUCUUGCAUCGAUGAAGAACGUAGCGAAAUGCGAUACUUGGUGUGAAUUGCAGAAUCCCGUGAACCAUCGAGUCUUUGAACGCAAGUUGCGCCCAAAGCCAUCAGGCCGAGGGCACGCCUGCCUGGGUGUCACAC